Molecule: ribosomal RNA, 497 nt
Filed under: uncultured bacterium
Lineage: Bacteria
Description: partial 16S ribosomal RNA
Rfam family: Bacterial small subunit ribosomal RNA
Source: RNAcentral
GAUGAACGCUGGCGGCGUGCCUAAUACAUGCAAGUCGAGCGAACAGACGAGGAGCUUGCUCCUCUGACGUUAGCGGCGGACGGGUGAGUAACACGUGGAUAACCUACCUAUAAGACUGGGAUAACUUCGGGAAACCGGAGCUAAUACCGGAUAAUAUAUUGAACCGCAUGGUUCAAUAGUGAAAGACGGUUUUGCUGUCACUUAUAGAUGGAUCCGCGCCGCAUUAGCUAGUUGGUAAGGUAACGGCUUACCAAGGCGACGAUGCGUAGCCGACCUGAGAGGCUGGUCGGCCACACUGGAGCGGGGACACGGUCCAGGGGCCUACGGGAGGCAGCAGUAGCGAAGCUUCCGCAAUGGGCGAAAGCAUGACGGAGCAACGCCGCGUGAGUGAUGAAGAUCUUCGGAUCGUAAAACUCUGUUAUGAGGUAAGAACAAAUGUGGAAGUAACUAUGCACGUCUUGACGGUACCGAAUCAGAAAGCCACGGCUAACUACGUG